Molecule: long non-coding RNA, 465 nt
Organism: Cotesia glomerata
Lineage: Eukaryota; Metazoa; Arthropoda; Insecta; Hymenoptera; Braconidae
Exons: 3
Source: RefSeq, a predicted model, not a curated record
AUGAAUUCUUAGGGAUGGAAAUAAUUUCCAAUCGAAGAGAGUUAUAUCCGAGAAAUGUACACCGAUAGCACUCCUGUCUCCUGUGUUACAUAUUUAGUAUAUACAUUUAUAUAUACAUAUAUACAAUGUAAUUUCUCUAUUUCCCGUCUCCGUCUCACUGACUCGCCGAUUCAACGAUACGUACGACAACGACGCCUUGGUGAUGAUGGUAAUCCACAAUUAUAAGCCGAUAACGAGCGAAUGACUUGGAUAUCGCGGUGAACUGGUUUUCAAUAACGUUAACUUUCUUCGCCCUGUACUGGUGAUAUCCUGCGGUUGAAACGGGAGAAGCGCGCAUUCCACGACGGCCUCCGUGCAAACUUGUGCAAACGCAUUAUCGGCCUCCAUUCUACCUUUAAGUACUUAUUUUUUUAUUUUUAUUUUCUCUUAUCACAAUGUCAAAAGAUCUUAUGAUUAUAUUGUUAC